AGAGUUUGAUCCUGGCUCAGGAUGAACGCUAGCGGGAGGCUUAACACAUGCAAGUCGAGGGGCAGCAUUAUCUGCUUGCAGAUAGAUGGCGACCGGCGCACGGGUGCGUAACGCGUAUGCAACUUGCCUAUAACUUAGGGAUAACUUGGAGAAAUCCUUGCUAAUAUCUAAUGUGAUCAAAAAUUCGCAUGUUUUUUUGAUUAAAGAAUUUCGGAUAUAGAUAGGCAUGCGUUCUAUUAGCUUGUUGGUAAGGUAACGGCUUACCAAGGCUACGAUAGAUAGGGGGCCUGAGAGGGUGAACCCCCACACUGGUACUGAGACACGGACCAGACUCCUACGGGAGGCAGCAGUGAGGAAUAUUGGUCAAUGGAGGCAACUCUGAACCAGCCAUCCCGCGUGAAGGACUGAAGGCGCUCGACGUCGUAAACUUCUUUUAUAUAGGAAUAAACCUAUCUACGUGUAGAUAGCUGAAGGUACUAUAUGAAUAAGCAUCGGCUAACUCCGUGCCAGCAGCCGCGGUAAUACGGAGGAUGCAAGCGUUAUCCGGAUUUAUUGGGUUUAAAGGGUCCGCAGGCGGAAUUUUAAGUCAGUGGUGAAAGCCUAUAGCUCAACUAUAGAACUGCCAUUGAUACUGAUAUUCUUGAGUAUAGAUGAAGUGGGCGGAAUAUGUCAUGUAGCGGUGAAAUGCAUAGAUAUGACAUGGAACACCAAUUGCGAAGGCAGCUCACUAAACUAUUACUGACGCUCAUGAACGAAAGCAUGGGGAGCGAACAGGAUUAGAUACCCUGGUAGUCCAUGCCGUAAACUAUGAUCACUAGAUGUUGGCGAUAUAUUGUCAGUGUUUUAGAGAAAUCGAUAAGUGAUCCACCUGGGGAGUACGUUCGCAAGAAUGAAACUCAAAGGAAUUGACGGGGGCCCGCACAAGCGGUGGAGCAUGUGGUUUAAUUCGAUGAUACGCGAGGAACCUUACCAAGGCUUAAAUGUAUUUUGACAGAUUGGGAAACCAGUUUUUCUUCGGACAAUUUACAAGGUGCUGCAUGGUUGUCGUCAGCUCGUGCCGUGAGGUGUCGGGUUAAGUCCCAUAACGAGCGCAACCCCUAUUUCUAGUUGCCAGCGAGUAAUGUCGGGAACUCUAGAGAAACUGCCCGUGCAAACGGAGAGGAAGGUGGGGAUGACGUCAAAUCAUCACGGCCCUUAUGUCUUGGGCUACACACGUGCUACAAUGGUCAAUACAGUGGGAUGCCAUCUGGUGACAGAGAGCAAAUCCAUAAAGUUGAUCCCAGUUCGGAUCGGAGUCUGCAACUCGACUCUGUGAAGUUGGAAUCGCUAGUAAUCGCACAUCAGCCACGAUGCGGUGAAUACGUUCCCGGGCCUUGUACACACCGCCCGUCAAGCCAUGGAAGCUGAGGGUACCUGAAGUCGGUAACCGCAAGGAUCUGCCUAGGGUAAGACAGAUAACUAGGGCUAAGUCGUAACAAGGUAACC
Molecule: ribosomal RNA, 1485 nt
Filed under: uncultured prokaryote
Description: partial 16S ribosomal RNA
Rfam family: Bacterial small subunit ribosomal RNA
Source: RNAcentral